ACGCAGAACAGGAGAGAGAUCACCGCCCUGACGGACACGGGCGCCACGGCGCAUGCGCAUAUACAUAACGUCCAUGCAGACAGGAGAGCUGGAGUUUAAAAAAAACUUUAUCAACUGUUUACUCACGUUAUUGAAGCACGCGCUCAUCGUGGGAGGGGGGUCAGACAGUCAUGUUGAGUCCUGAGUUUUCUGUUUCAAUGGCGAUGCUGCGGGCUUGAAUAACUUUUCAGUCAAAGAACCAGCUGGACAGCUUCCUGUGGCUUCUGCAAACAGACACACACGGUGAACAGCAGGGGGCGCCAUCCACCAAGGAGAGGGCAAAGAGCGAGCCGGAAGAUGGGAAGUUUUUGUGAAUUGGUUUCCUUCCUGGUUUCCAUUCAGUGAUCAUCAUCUUAAACUGGUGCACAGGUGAGGUGGAGUCACUGGCUGUGUCCCAAUUCAGGGUCUGCAGCCUUUUUUUUUCUUUUCUUUCUUUCUUUUUUUUAUUUAGACAAUUGAACAACAAACAUACAUAGUAAUGUAGAAUAUAGAAAGGGUAUGACAAAUCCCACAGCUUGCAGUAUCUUGAACAACUUAUGUAUACAAAUACAAGUACGUAAACAAAAACGAAUACUUUAGGAGAAAACAGAUAAACAAAAUCACUGAAAGAAAAAACAAGGUGCUCAAGGUAUAAAUAAACAACAUAUAAGUCAAGUGAAACUAUACAUUCAACACAGCUCUUGUGUUUUACAUGCUUUGGAGUUAGUACUGUUCUUAAGAGUUAUUUGGAAAACAGGGCUUUAAAAGCAAAUAUGUUUGGACGCUGUUGAGAAAAUUUUGUACAAUGUAUGUGAAAUUUGGCAAAAAUAAUCAGAAGAUUAAUAUAUUUUUUCCCUGGAAUUAUUUUAUCGGUAUGUGAGAGGCCAAAUAGAAUAUGUUGAGGAUCUGCAGCCUUAAAGGCCGCAUUUUAAGGCCGAUUACGUUACAGCGACGCGCCGAAGGCUGUCCCAAUUCAAAGGCUGUUCGAAAUGCGGCCAUCCUUCAAUUCCCUGAAUUUUAAGGACGUGGCGGUGUAGACUUCGUGGCCCAACAUAUCCCACAAUUCAUAGCGCGGCAGUCGGUGUGGAUCAUUUUGCCGCAGACGGCAGAAGCGGAGCGGUCGAAGAGUAAACUGUUAAAACUUAUCACACAUUUGAUUUCCAUGUGUGACAACUGCAAGUGU
Molecule: long non-coding RNA, 1201 nt
Organism: Oreochromis niloticus (Nile tilapia)
Lineage: Eukaryota; Metazoa; Chordata; Actinopteri; Cichliformes; Cichlidae
Exons: 3
Source: RefSeq, a predicted model, not a curated record